This 30-nucleotide non-coding RNA is filed under the name Mus musculus (house mouse). The record is from RNAcentral. Lineage: Eukaryota; Metazoa; Chordata; Mammalia; Rodentia; Muridae.
UGCUCCAAUGUCAUAUAGGUUCUGUGUGCC